This 253-nucleotide ribosomal RNA is filed under the name uncultured bacterium. Its description in RNAcentral is "partial 16S ribosomal RNA". It matches the Rfam family "Bacterial small subunit ribosomal RNA", at positions 524 to 776 of the family's 1533-position model. The record is from RNAcentral.
UACGUAGGGUGCAAGCGUUAAUCGGAAUUACUGGGCGUAAAGCGUGCGCAGGCGGUGAUGUAAGACAGAUGUGAAAUCCCCGGGCUCAACCUGGGAACUGCAUUUGUGACUGCAUCGCUGGAGUGCGGCAGAGGGGGAUGGAAUUCCGCGUGUAGCAGUGAAAUGCGUAGAGAUGUGGAGGAACACCGAUGGCGAAGGCAGCCCCCUGGGCUGAGAUUGACGCUCAGGCACGAAAGCGUGGGGAGCAAACAGG